GAUGAACGCUGGCGGCGUGCCUAAUACAUGCAAGUCGAACGCUGGAGAUCUAGCUUGCUAGAUCGAAGGAGUGGCGAACGGGUGAGUAAUACAUAAGCAACCUACCCACGAAGACUGGGAUAAUCUCUGGAAACGGGGACUAAUACCGGAUAGGUAAUCGGAAGGCAUCUUCUGGUUAUUAAAGGUUAAAAACACUGGUGGAUGGGCUUAUGGCGCAUUAGUUAGUUGGUGAGGUAACGGCCCACCAAGACGAGGAUGCGUAGCCGGCCUGAGAGGGUGAACGGCCACAUUGGGACUGAGACACGGCCCAGACUCCUACGGGAGGCAGCAGUAGGGAAGUGUCGGCAAUGGGGGCAACCCUGACCGAGCAACGCCGCGUGAGUGAAGACGGCCUUCGGGUUGUAAAGCUCUGUUGUAAGGGAAGAACGGUAGAUAGAGAAUAUCUAAGUGACGGUACCUUACCAGAAAGCCACGGCUAACUACGUG
This 486-nucleotide ribosomal RNA is filed under the name uncultured bacterium. Its description in RNAcentral is "partial 16S ribosomal RNA". It matches the Rfam family "Bacterial small subunit ribosomal RNA", at positions 28 to 507 of the family's 1533-position model. The record is from RNAcentral.